Molecule: long non-coding RNA, 294 nt
Organism: Cydia amplana
Lineage: Eukaryota; Metazoa; Arthropoda; Insecta; Lepidoptera; Tortricidae
Exons: 2
Source: RefSeq, a predicted model, not a curated record
AUAAUUGACCACUAUAAUUUUUUGAUGAUUUUUUAAAUACUGCCCUUCUCGUCAUAUAUUGCCAGUGACGCACGCAUGGGACCUCAUUAUUAAAAGGCAAGAUGAGAAGACGUGCUAAUAGAAACCAAUAUUUGUUAUUUAGAUAUUACGUAACAAAAGGUGUACAGUCAGCGUCAAAUACUUUGUAGCAGUCAAAGUGGCCAAAUAGUUCGGUACACCAUACUAAAUAUAUGGUGUACCGAACUAUUUGGCUACUUUGGUUGCUACAAAGUAUUUGACGCUGACUGUACCUAC